CAGGUAGCUCAGUCGGUAGAGCAGAGGACUGAAAAUCCUCGUGUCGGUGGUUCGAUUCCGCCCCUGG
This 67-nucleotide transfer RNA is filed under the name marine eukaryotic metagenome. It matches the Rfam family "tRNA". From Rfam's summary of the family: Transfer RNA (tRNA) molecules are approximately 80 nucleotides in length. The record is from RNAcentral.